Long non-coding RNA from Strongylocentrotus purpuratus (purple sea urchin), 2510 nucleotides. RefSeq lists it as uncharacterized. Lineage: Eukaryota; Metazoa; Echinodermata; Echinoidea; Camarodonta; Strongylocentrotidae. The record is from RefSeq and is a predicted model, not a curated record. The transcript is spliced from 30 exons.
CCUCAUAGUCAAGUGAAGAAAGACCAACUUAGAAGUGCUUGGCUGGAAGAAAACUUCUCAGAAUGGAUCUUUUGAUAAAGGCAAGAUGGAAAUCCAAUACUGACCACCCAUGAUGAUGAAAUGGAUAUCUACCAGCUUGACAGUUGCUGGUAGGGAGUCGACGGUCAAAGAUAAGCAGCCAUUGUUUUGGAUCAAGAGUUGCUGCUGGAGACUGAAGAUUUCUCCACUUCCCGAGUCUGAGUGAUUGAUGACCUCGUCCUUGCAACAAUAUAGUCCACAAUCAUAACUGAAGGCAGAUCUCGACUUUGUAUUGAUCAAGGCUAUCUGAAUGAAGCAGAGGAGUUUGCAAACCAAGAUCUGUAUCCAGUUCAAGACUCUGGUUGGUGGAAUUUGCAUACCACGAGCUGCAUCCAGAACAAGACUUGACUUGAUGAUGUGAGCUUGUGAAGACCUGCAUCCAGUUCCAGAUUUGACUUGAUGCUGUGACCUUGUAAAGAGCUGCCUGCAACCAGUUUUAGGUAUGCACAUUUGGACACUUCUUGCAAGGAAAGGCCAGUUUCCCCAUCCAUUUUCAGGCCAGUUUCCACAAUGGUGUAUUGUAUGAAGCUUCAACAAAGAAGAUUGGGAAAAGGCCAGAUCCCCUGCUGACGUAGAGUCUCGUCAAAGUAGAACAGGAAAUGGAGCCAACAAUGCUUGAUCGAGGAAGGCGACCUAAAUGCCCAAUCGAGUGUCAACAGUUUCCUCAUCUCUUGUACACAUUCCAUGAUGUCUCUGCAACAGGAGUGAGUCUGUCUUUGAUCCAGUGACAGCAUGAUGUGAUGGUCAUCAACAGCAGAAACAUUGUUGAUGGCGAGUCUUGUUCGGCACAGAGGACAAGGCAUAGGAGUGAAGGAAGAGCCUUAUUUCCCUUUGAAGGAAGGAUCCUCUUUGCUUGUCGGCUAAGGACACAGAACGAGUGAGAAAAAGUGUGAGGAAGAGCCAAUUUCCCUUUGAAGGAAGGAUUCCCUUUCCUUUGUCAGCCGAGGACACAGAACGUGGAUCUUAACCUCCUGCAACCUAGAACAAGUGCGAGGACUUUGACAUUGAUGUUGGUUUCACCGUUACUCAUGUCAUGGUCAAGAACAUCAGUUGAGGUCAACUUUGGCCAGAAGGACUUUGAAGGAGAGAAGCCAACCAUCUCGUACACCAAGAAAAGCACCAACCGUGGUGUUGCUUUCACAAUUGGGAAGAACUAAAUGGUCAAGCCCUGUUCCCUCAUUCAGGGUCAAGAACAUCUGUUGAGGACAACUUUGACCAGAAGUCCUACAGGUGGAGCCAUAUUUCCCUUUGAAGUAAGGAUUCUCUUUCCUUUGUCAGCUGAGGACACAGAACGUGGAUCUAAACCUCCUUCCACCAAGAAGAAGUGUGAGGUUCUUCAUGGAACUGAACCUGCUGAUUUUAACGUCAGAAAGUCCAGUCCUGCAUGUGAAAACAAAGCUGGAGAUACCCUGCCACCGAUUUUCUCCACCUACAUCCAUCAUUACAAAUAACAGCUUGGUCGUUCUGUGUUGAAGGCUUUCACCUUUUGUCCUGUGAUCACUUAUAUGCUUCACAUCUAAUUCAGUGAUCUGUGACACUGAUACCUUGCCAAGUCUUGUCGCCCAAUGUGGAUCACCAAGAGGGAUCCUCUGAAGACCAUGGUGAUAUGCAGUUCAUGGUCUGCGGAGCUUAUGUCUGCAUGGAAGCAAGACAUGUUAAACGAGAUCUUGCAUGGACUUUAUAUCUAUCUGGUGAAUGGCUUUUGACAUUUAGGAAACCCAGCAAGUUUGAGGUUUUGGAGCUCAUGGUCUUAAGGGACUCGAAUCAGACAAGGAAAGCCAGCAAGUUUGAGGUUUUGGGAGCUCAUGGAUCUGGAGGAACUCUAAUCAGACAAGGGUUUGGAAUGAUUCCAUCUGGAUACUUCAUCGUCAAUCAACGGAUCAUCUUUAGAAGAUUGCGGAAAUCUUAAAACUCAGUUUUAGAGCGGCUGCUGUACACUCCUUAGACUAGGAAGCAGAAACUUCACAUAAUUCCUUUAUUACUAGAAAUCAUUGAAACACAAAGAUAACUAGAUUUGAAUUUGUCAUUGCUGAUGAAUUAGGUGAUCCACAGCAGAUCGAUCUCGUCUGAAUGACUAAGAAACGAUCGCCAGACGGCAUCUCAUGAAUGAACAAAAUUGUUCACUCAGAUUCCUCCGAACAUGAGGUACUCUCUAGAUUACCUAGUUAUAUGAAAAUUGAAUAUUUAUAUUUGUAAAGACAAAAUGAUAAAAAAUAAAUUUCAGAAAGUGAAAUCUUCCAGUUGUGAAUUCAUGUUCAUUUAUGUCAUUUUAAGCUUGUGAAUGUACUGAAAGUCUUGAAAGUGGGGGAAAAGGACGAAAAGUAGAACAAAGAGUGAAUGAAAGAAAGUGUUUUGCUUGUACUUUUGGGGUUCACAAGGAAUCAAGUUUCGGUUAUCUUGGAGCCCUGGCCAAUUCUGGUUAAAAUAACUUU